This is a long non-coding RNA of Cyanistes caeruleus (blue tit), 421 nucleotides long. RefSeq lists it as uncharacterized. NCBI's taxonomy places the organism in Eukaryota, Metazoa, Chordata, Aves, Passeriformes, Paridae. The record is from RefSeq and is a predicted model, not a curated record.
UCUGACUCAUGGGACUAUGGAGACAAAGGUGAUGUAGAAGGGCAUGCCCUCAAGCCAAGGGCUGAAGUUUCUCUUUUUUUCUUCACCAACAAUGAAAUGGGGAAGGAAACAGGGAUGAAGAACUUCAACCCUGAUCAGUGUUGAUGCUUCUAAAUCCUCUUGUCGCUGUGCUAACUCCAAAGAUCACAUCUGCAUGAGCAUGAUGCCCCCAGUUCAGACAGAUGCACAGACUUCAGGAGAGGGAGAAUUAACGCACAGUUUCUCCAGUGUCUGAAGAAAGAUGAUGCUCAGCUGGUGCACAGAUAGCAUUCCUCUCUUCUUACCUACUUCCAUGAACAUGCAGAAAGAUAACAUACAAGAGACCUUGUGUGUGUCUUGCACUGGCUGGAGGUUCAGAAUAAUGAAGGCAGGAACUGCACAA